This 253-nucleotide ribosomal RNA is filed under the name uncultured bacterium. RNAcentral describes it as "partial 16S ribosomal RNA". It matches the Rfam family "Bacterial small subunit ribosomal RNA", at positions 524 to 776 of the family's 1533-position model. The record is from RNAcentral.
UACGUAGGGUGCAAGCGUUGUCCGGAAUUAUUGGGCGUAAAGAGCUCGUAGGCGGUCUGUUACGUCGGCUGUGAAAACCUGGGGCUCAACCCCGGGCCUGCAGCCGAUACGGGCAGACUAGAGUUCGGCAGGGGAGACUGGAAUUCCUGGUGUAGCGGUGAAAUGCGCAGAUAUCAGGAGGAACACCGGUGGCGAAAGCGGCUCACUGGACCAUAACUGACGCUGAUGCACGAAAGCUAGGGGAGCAAACAGG